GGUCCUGUGGCCCAAUGGAUAAGGCGCCUGACUACGAAUCAGGAAAUUCCAGGUUCGAGUCCUGGCAGGAUCG
Non-coding RNA from Ciona savignyi (Pacific transparent sea squirt), 73 nucleotides. NCBI's taxonomy places the organism in Eukaryota, Metazoa, Chordata, Ascidiacea, Phlebobranchia, Cionidae. The record is from Rfam.